RNAcentral lists this non-coding RNA (374 nucleotides) under Tuber melanosporum Mel28. RNAcentral describes it as "Eukaryotic large subunit ribosomal RNA". It matches the Rfam family "Eukaryotic large subunit ribosomal RNA", at positions 2416 to 2797 of the family's 3401-position model. The record is from Rfam by way of RNAcentral. Lineage: Eukaryota; Fungi; Ascomycota; Pezizomycetes; Pezizales; Tuberaceae.
UUGAGCUUGACUCUAGUUUGAUAUUGUGAAUGGACAUAGGAGAUGUAGAAUAGGUAGUAGCUUUAGUGCCGGUGAAGUACCACUAUCCUGAUUUUUUAUACAUAACCAAAGAAGCGGAGCUCGACUUCACAGUCAAAUAUCUAGCUUAAAGAUCCAAUUCUGGGCCAACCUGAGUUGAUGACAUUGUCAAGUGGGGAGUUUGGCUGAAGCAGCAUAUGUGUUAAUCAUAAUACAGAUGUCUUAAGGGGGACUUAUGGAGAACAGAAAGCUCUAAUUGAACAAAAGAGUUAAUGUCUUUUUGAUUUUGAUUUUCAGUAUAAGGUAACGAUCCUACUCCUCUGUACUUAGUUCUUCAGCAGGUAACAACCUUACCA